RNAcentral lists this ribosomal RNA (492 nucleotides) under uncultured bacterium. RNAcentral describes it as "partial 16S ribosomal RNA". It matches the Rfam family "Bacterial small subunit ribosomal RNA", at positions 29 to 507 of the family's 1533-position model. The record is from RNAcentral.
AGUGAACGCUGGCGGUAGGCCUAACACAUGCAAGUCGAACGGCAGCACAGUAAGAGCUUGCUCUUACGGGUGGCGAGUGGCGGACGGGGGAGGAAUACAUCGGAAUCUACUUUUUCGGGGGGGAUAACGUAGGGAAACUUACGCUAAUACCGCAUACGACCUACGGGUGAAAGCAGGGGAUCUUCGGACCUUGCGCGAUUGAAUGAGCCGAUGUCGGAUUAGCUAGUUGGCGGGGUAAAGGCCCACCAAGGCGACGAUCCGUAGCUGGUCUGAGAGGAUGAUCAGCCACACUGGAACUGAGACACGGUCCAGACUCCUACGGGAGGCAGCAGUGGGGAAUAUUGGACAAUGGGCGCAAGCCUGAUCCAGCCAUACCGCGUGGGUGAAGAAGGCCUUCGGGUUGUAAAGCCCUUUUGUUGGGAAAGAAAAGCAGCAGGUUAAUACCCCGCUGUUCUGACGGUACCCAAAGAAUAAGCACCGGCUAACUUCGUG